CCUACGGGGGGCAGCAGUGGGGAAUAUUGCACAAUGGGCGCAAGCCUGGUGCAGCCAUGCCGCGUGUGUGAAGAAGGCCUUCGGGUUGUAAAGCACUUUCAGCGGGGAGGAAGGCGGUGAGGUUAAUAACCUCAUCGAUUGACGUUACCCGCAGAAGAAGCACAGGCUAACUCCGUGCCAGCAGCCGCGGUAAUACGGAGGGUGCAAGCGUUAAUCGGAAUUACUGGGCGUAAAGCGCACGCAGGCGGUCUGUCAAGUCGGAUGUGAAAUCCCCGGGCUCAACCUGGGAACUGCAUUCGAAACUGGCAGGCUAGAGUCUUGUAGAGGGGGGUAGAAUUCCAGGUGUAGCGGUGAAAUGCGUAGAGAUCUGGAGGAAUACCGGUGGCGAAGGCGGCCCCCUGGACAAAGACUGACGCUCAGGUGCGAAAGCGUGGGGAGCAAACAGGAUUAGAUACCCCAGUAGUC
This 465-nucleotide ribosomal RNA is filed under the name uncultured Klebsiella sp. RNAcentral's name for it is "bacterial SSU rRNA". It matches the Rfam family "Bacterial small subunit ribosomal RNA", at positions 338 to 795 of the family's 1533-position model. The record is from RNAcentral. Lineage: Bacteria; Pseudomonadati; Pseudomonadota; Gammaproteobacteria; Enterobacterales; Enterobacteriaceae.